CAGUCGCCACGGUAAUACGAAGGGGGCUAGCGUUGCUCGGAAUGACUGGGCGUAAAGGGCGCGUAGGCGGCGAUCAAAGUCAGGCGUGAAAUUCCUGGGCUCAACCUGGGGGCUGCGCUUGAUACUGGGUUGCUUGAGUGGGGAAGAGGGUCGUGGAAUUCCCAGUGUAGAGGUGAAAUUCGUAGAUAUUUGGAAGAACACCGGUGGCGAAGGCGGCGACCUGGUCCUUUACUGACGCUGAGGCGCGAAAGCGUGGGGAGCAAACAGGAUUAGAUACCCCCGUAGUCCCUGUCUCUUAUAC
This 301-nucleotide ribosomal RNA is filed under the name uncultured bacterium. Its description in RNAcentral is "partial 16S ribosomal RNA". It matches the Rfam family "Bacterial small subunit ribosomal RNA", at positions 509 to 807 of the family's 1533-position model. The record is from RNAcentral.